Molecule: long non-coding RNA, 562 nt
Filed under: Parus major (Great Tit)
Lineage: Eukaryota; Metazoa; Chordata; Aves; Passeriformes; Paridae
Description: lncRNA (ENSPMJG00000015464.1)
Source: RNAcentral
CAAUGAUCCAGAUCCUCCUGCACACGAAGGAUUCAGCACAAGCUGGGCAAGCAGAGAGAUAACUUUUGCCUAAUUUGUGCUGAGCUAAGGAGCAGGAACAGGGGACUGCAGACAGGUUCUGGUGGUUUGGGCUCUGAAAAGAGCUUUUCCAGGAGUGCCUCUCAGGAUGAGUGUGCUGCAUGGAGCAAAGGGGAGGCUGGAGCCCCAGUGCUGCUGCUUUCAGUCCUGCAAAGGGGAGGCAGCUUUUGCUUCCUCCAGCUUCCCCCGGCUUCCCAGGGUGCUCUCUGACCAGCUCAUUUUAGCACAGCAUGAGCAUCUCACUGUUGAUAACUUUUAUUUUGCAAGAAUUCUGUGUCUCUGGCCCCCAUCAACAUCUCCUGUGCAUGGGCACUGAGGCAACUACUGAAACGUGUUAAGUAUUAACACACAGCAAAGAUUUCCAGAAUACCAUUUGUGUUUUCUUAGAGGUUUAGGAAAGAAGAACUGCCACCUUACCAGUAGAAAACUUUCAAAAUAGAUAUUAGUCAGUCAAAAAAAAAAAAUAAAGACAAAAAUAAAGACA